RNAcentral lists this ribosomal RNA (481 nucleotides) under Babesia venatorum (nom. ined.). RNAcentral's name for it is "SSU rRNA". It matches the Rfam family "Eukaryotic small subunit ribosomal RNA", at positions 500 to 1039 of the family's 1831-position model. The record is from RNAcentral. Lineage: Eukaryota; Apicomplexa; Aconoidasida; Piroplasmida; Babesiidae.
GUCUUGUAAUUGGAAUGAUGGUGACCUAAACCCUCACCAGAGUAACAAUUGGAGGGCAAGUCUGGUGCCAGCAGCCGCGGUAAUUCCAGCUCCAAUAGCGUAUAUUAAACUUGUUGCAGUUAAAAAGCUCGUAGUUGAAUUUCUGCGUUAUCGAGUUAUUGACUCUUGUCUUUAAUCGAUUUCGCUUUUGGGAUUUAUCCCUUUUUACUUUGAGAAAAUUAGAGUGUUUCAAGCAGACUUUUGUCUUGAAUACUUCAGCAUGGAAUAAUAGAGUAGGACUUUGGUUCUAUUUUGUUGGUUUUUGAACCUUAGUAAUGGUUAAUAGGAACGGUUGGGGGCAUUCGUAUUUAACUGUCAGAGGUGAAAUUCUUAGAUUUGUUAAAGACGAACUACUGCGAAAGCAUUUGCCAAGGACGUUUCCAUUAAUCAAGAACGAAAGUUAGGGCGAAGCAUCAGAACUCGUAGUCCUAACCAUAAACUA